GGUUAAGCGACUAAGCGUACACGGUGGAUGCCCUGGCAGUCAGAGGCGAUGAAGGACGUGCUAAUCUGCGAUAAGCGUCGGUAAGGUGAUAUGAACCGUUAUAACCGGCGAUUUCCGAAUGGGGAAACCCAGUGUGUUUCGACACACUAUCAUUAACUGAAUCCAUAGGUUAAUGAGGCGAACCGGGGGAACUGAAACAUCUAAGUACCCCGAGGAAAAGAAAUCAACCGAGAUUCCCCCAGUAGCGGCGAGCGAACGGGGAGCAGCCCAGAGCCUGAAUCAGUGUGUGUGUUAGUGGAAGCGUCUGGAAAGGCGCGCGAUACAGGGUGACAGCCCCGUACACAAAAAUGCACAUGCUGUGAGCUCGAUGAGUAGGGCGGGACACGUGGUAUCCUGUCUGAAUAUGGGGGGACCAUCCUCCAAGGCUAAAUACUCCUGACUGACCGAUAGUGAACCAGUACCGUGAGGGAAAGGCGAAAAGAACCCCGGCGAGGGGAGUGAAAAAGAACCUGAAACCGUGUACGUACAAGCAGUGGGAGCACGCUUAGGCGUGUGACUGCGUACCUUUUGUAUAAUGGGUCAGCGACUUAUAUUCUGUAGCAAGGUUAACCGAAUAGGGGAGCCGAAGGGAAACCGAGUCUUAACUGGGCGUUAAGUUGCAGGGUAUAGACCCGAAACCCGGUGAUCUAGCCAUGGGCAGGUUGAAGGUUGGGUAACACUAACUGGAGGACCGAACCGACUAAUGUUGAAAAAUUAGCGGAUGACUUGUGGCUGGGGGUGAAAGGCCAAUCAAACCGGGAGAUAGCUGGUUCUCCCCGAAAGCUAUUUAGGUAGCGCCUCGUGAAUUCAUCUCCGGGGGUAGAGCACUGUUUCGGCAAGGGGGUCAUCCCGACUUACCAACCCGAUGCAAACUGCGAAUACCGGAGAAUGUUAUCACGGGAGACACACGGCGGGUGCUAACGUCCGUCGUGAAGAGGGAAACAACCCAGACCGCCAGCUAAGGUCCCAAAGUCAUGGUUAAGUGGGAAACGAUGUGGGAAGGCCCAGACAGCCAGGAUGUUGGCUUAGAAGCAGCCAUCAUUUAAAGAAAGCGUAAUAGCUCACUGGUCGAGUCGGCCUGCGCGGAAGAUGUAACGGGGCUAAACCAUGCACCGAAGCUGCGGCAGCGACGCUUAUGCGUUGUUGGGUAGGGGAGCGUUCUGUAAGCCUGCGAAGGUGUGCUGUGAGGCAUGCUGGAGGUAUCAGAAGUGCGAAUGCUGACAUAAGUAACGAUAAAGCGGGUGAAAAGCCCGCUCGCCGGAAGACCAAGGGUUCCUGUCCAACGUUAAUCGGGGCAGGGUGAGUCGACCCCUAAGGCGAGGCCGAAAGGCGUAGUCGAUGGGAAACAGGUUAAUAUUCCUGUACUUGGUGUUACUGCGAAGGGGGGACGGAGAAGGCUAUGUUGGCCGGGCGACGGUUGUCCCGGUUUAAGCGUGUAGGCUGGUUUUCCAGGCAAAUCCGGAAAAUCAAGGCUGAGGCGUGAUGACGAGGCACUACGGUGCUGAAGCAACAAAUGCCCUGCUUCCAGGAAAAGCCUCUAAGCAUCAGGUAACAUCAAAUCGUACCCCAAACCGACACAGGUGGUCAGGUAGAGAAUACCAAGGCGCUUGAGAGAACUCGGGUGAAGGAACUAGGCAAAAUGGUGCCGUAACUUCGGGAGAAGGCACGCUGAUAUGUAGGUGAGGUCCCUCGCGGAUGGAGCUGAAAUCAGUCGAAGAUACCAGCUGGCUGCAACUGUUUAUUAAAAACACAGCACUGUGCAAACACGAAAGUGGACGUAUACGGUGUGACGCCUGCCCGGUGCCGGAAGGUUAAUUGAUGGGGUUAGCGCAAGCGAAGCUCUUGAUCGAAGCCCCGGUAAACGGCGGCCGUAACUAUAACGGUCCUAAGGUAGCGAAAUUCCUUGUCGGGUAAGUUCCGACCUGCACGAAUGGCGUAAUGAUGGCCAGGCUGUCUCCACCCGAGACUCAGUGAAAUUGAACUCGCUGUGAAGAUGCAGUGUACCCGCGGCAAGACGGAAAGACCCCGUGAACCUUUACUAUAGCUUGACACUGAACAUUGAGCCUUGAUGUGUAGGAUAGGUGGGAGGCUUGGAAGUGUGGACGCCAGUCUGCAUGGAGCCGACCUUGAAAUACCACCCUUUAAUGUUUGAUGUUCUAACGUUGACCCGUAAUCCGGGUUGCGGACAGUGUCUGGUGGGUAGUUUGACUGGGGCGGUCUCCUCCUAAAGAGUAACGGAGGAGCACGAAGGUUGGCUAAUCCUGGUCGGACAUCAGGAGGUUAGUGCAAUGGCAUAAGCCAGCUUGACUGCGAGCGUGACGGCGCGAGCAGGUGCGAAAGCAGGUCAUAGUGAUCCGGUGGUUCUGAAUGGAAGGGCCAUCGCUCAACGGAUAAAAGGUACUCCGGGGAUAACAGGCUGAUACCGCCCAAGAGUUCAUAUCGACGGCGGUGUUUGGCACCUCGAUGUCGGCUCAUCACAUCCUGGGGCUGAAGUAGGUCCCAAGGGUAUGGCUGUUCGCCAUUUAAAGUGGUACGCGAGCUGGGUUUAGAACGUCGUGAGACAGUUCGGUCCCUAUCUGCCGUGGGCGCUGGAGAACUGAGGGGGGCUGCUCCUAGUACGAGAGGACCGGAGUGGACGCAUCACUGGUGUUCGGGUUGUCAUGCCAAUGGCACUGCCCGGUAGCUAAAUGCGGAAGAGAUAAGUGCUGAAAGCAUCUAAGCACGAAACUUGCCCCGAGAUGAGUUCUCCCUGACUCCUUGAGAGUCCUGAAGGAACGUUGAAGACGACGACGUUGAUAGGCCGGGUGUGUAAGCGCAGCGAUGCGUUGAGCUAACCGGUACUAAUGAACCGUGAGGCUUAACCUU
This 2904-nucleotide ribosomal RNA is filed under the name Escherichia coli. RNAcentral's name for it is "23S ribosomal RNA". It matches the Rfam family "Bacterial large subunit ribosomal RNA". Lineage: Bacteria; Pseudomonadati; Pseudomonadota; Gammaproteobacteria; Enterobacterales; Enterobacteriaceae. The record is from RNAcentral.